RNAcentral lists this ribosomal RNA (358 nucleotides) under uncultured soil bacterium. RNAcentral's name for it is "bacterial SSU rRNA". It matches the Rfam family "Bacterial small subunit ribosomal RNA", at positions 26 to 376 of the family's 1533-position model. The record is from RNAcentral.
AGAUUGAACGCUGGCGGCAGGCCUAACACAUGCAAGUCGAGCGGCAGCACGGGUACUUGUACCUGGUGGCGAGCGGCGGACGGGUGAGUAAUGCCUAGGAAUCUGCCUGGUAGUGGGGGGAUAACGCUCGGAAACGGACGCUAAUACCGCAUACGUCCUACGGGAGAAAGCGAGGGGACCUUUCGGGCCUUGCGCUAUCAGAUGAGCCUAGGUCGGAUUAGCUUAGUUGGUGAGGUAAUGGCUACGACCAAGGCGACGAUCCCGUAACUGGUCUGAGAGGAUGAUCAGUCACACGUGAACUGAGACACGGUCCAGACCUCCGUAGGGAGCAGCAGGUGGGAAUAGUAGGACAGUGGGA